CUGCUGUGAUUUCCUUUAUCUGGUCCUCUGCCACCCUGUGUAAAUUUAAGGAAUCCAGCCAUGUGGCUAUCUGAUGUUUAUUAUUUAUUUUUGGUUGGGAAUAUAGAUUCUUAUAAUAUGUUUCAAAACAUGUAUGUAUCUCUUCUGUCUUAUAUUUUGGUAGAUUUGUAGCUGAGCCCCUAUGACUUUUUAAUCUGUAGCCCAGCAAUUUUGUAGAUUUACUUCCCACGUCAUAGUAUCGCUGUUUCAUGUACAACAGCUUUUUUUGAAUCUCUUGUCCUGAGAUGUCAUUUACCUCUGUUCUAACUCUUUUGAUAUUUUGGUUUAUUCGCUCGUCCACAUUUUUUUUAUGUUCUUUUUCCAAUUUUUUAAGCUCUGAUUCUAAUUUAUUGAGUUUUUCCUGUGUUUGCCUUUUCAAGUAUGUUGAUUUAGCAAUUCGUUGUCCUCUAAUCACAGCUUUACACGCGUCCCACAGCACCGAGGGAGACACCUCACCAUUAUCAUUCUCCCUCACAUAUAACUGAAUUUCUUUAAUAAACUCUUCCUUCAUUUGUCCUUUUAAUACAUUUAUAUUUAGCCUCCAAAGUGUUGAUUUUUGUUCUCUUGACAUAGCCAGAGUCAUAUAUACAGGACUAUGGUCUGAUAUGUCUCUCACUCCAAUUUCACAAUUUUCGAUCCUAUAACUGUCCUAACUGAACAUGAAAAAAUUAUCUAUCCUGGAGUAUAUUUGAUGUGGUGCUGAGAAAAAUGUAUAGUCUUCCCUUAGGAUUGAAUUCUUUCCAAACGUCAAUUACUCUUUAUGUAAAAAAAAAAUGUUUGUACUUAUUGCACUUGUAAUUUCACAUUGUGGCAUUUGUAUUUACAGUAGGUGGUUA
RNAcentral lists this unclassified non-coding RNA (875 nucleotides) under Hevea brasiliensis (rubber tree). Lineage: Eukaryota; Viridiplantae; Streptophyta; Magnoliopsida; Malpighiales; Euphorbiaceae. The record is from RNAcentral.